This 809-nucleotide ribosomal RNA is filed under the name uncultured organism. RNAcentral's name for it is "bacterial SSU rRNA". It matches the Rfam family "Bacterial small subunit ribosomal RNA", at positions 507 to 1332 of the family's 1533-position model. The record is from RNAcentral.
GCCAGCAGCCGCGGUAAGACGUAGGACACAAGCGUUAUCCGGAUUUACUGGGCGUAAAGCGUCUGCAGGCGGACAGGUAAGUUGGGCGUGAAAGCUCCGGGCCCAACCCGGAGAGGUCGUUCAAUACUGCGUGUCUAGAGGGUGUCAGAGGGGAGUGGAAUUUCCGGAGUAGCGGUAAAAUGCGCAGAGAUCGGAAAGAACACCAAUGGCGAAGGCAGCUCCCUGGGGCAACCCUGACGCUAAGAGACGAAAGCUAGGGGAGCGAACAGGAUUAGAGACCCUGGUAGUCCUAGCCCUAAACGAUGGAUGCUGGAUGUGGGGCCAUAGCGCUCCGUGUCGAAGCGAACGCGUUAAGCAUCCCGCCUGGGGACUACGGCCGCAAGGUUAAAACUCAAACGAAUUGACGGGACCCCGCACAAGCAGCGGAGCGUGUGGUUUAAUUCGAUGCUACACGAAGAACCUUACCUGGGUUUGACAUCUAGGUGGUAGUGAAGCGAAAGCGGAGCGACCCUUCGGGGAGCCUAGACAGGUGCUGCAUGGCUGUCGUCAGCUCGUGCCGUGAGGUGUCGGGUUAAGUCCCGUAACGAGCGCAACCCUUGCCCUCCGUUAUACGUGUCAGAGGGGACUGCCGGCGGUAAGCCGGAGGAAGGUGGGGAUGACGUCAAGUCAGCAUGGCCUUUAUAUCCAGGGCUACACACACGCUACAAUGGCCAGUACAAAGGGCAGCGAAGCCGCGAGGUGGAGCGAAUCCCAGCAAAGCUGGUCGUAGUUCGGAUUGCAGGCUGCAACCCGCCUGCAGAAGCUGGAGU